UUUAAAUCUAAAUUUCUGCCUUGAAUUAUUUUUCAAAGUUUUGAUCCAUGAGGUGUUAAAAAAACUUAUGAUACUUGAAUUAUUUCAGUUAGGUUAUAGUUUCAUGAUACUCAGUAAUGGCUUUGGAAAUCAUAACUCCAUAAACAAAUGGGAAAAUGAUAUUUGAAAUGCUUUGCAGUACUUUUAUUCUGUUAAAUUAACUUCUUGCAUUUGAACUAAAGAUGUAAUGUUAUAUUCACAGGAUGAACAAUUUAGAGUUAGCAAGUAGAAUACCAAUACUUAAGAUGUGAGGCUAAUGAGUCAAUUGUUUCUAACAGUAAUAUUAUAGUUUACCGUGUUUGACUAUUGUACCAUAUGUGGCUUAUGAUAUGCGGAGAUGCAAUACCCCUUUGCUUCCAUUUGUUCGUUGUGAUGUGGUUCUGAUCAUGUGUAAUGUGGUUGAUCUUUAAAAUUUGGCUGCAAAAUUAACAGCCCAAAUGGUGA
RNAcentral lists this unclassified non-coding RNA (483 nucleotides) under Hevea brasiliensis (rubber tree). The record is from RNAcentral. Lineage: Eukaryota; Viridiplantae; Streptophyta; Magnoliopsida; Malpighiales; Euphorbiaceae.